UACGUAGGGGGCGAGCGUUAUCCGGAUUUACUGGGCGUAAAGCGCGUUAAGGCGGUCGGCCAAGUUGGUUGUGAAAUCUCAGGGCUCAACCCUGAAAUUGCGACCAAUACUGGUCGACUAGAGUGUGAGAGAGGAAGGUGGAAUUCCCGGUGUAGUAGUGAAAUGCGUAGAUAUCGGGAGGAACACCAGUGGCGAAGGCGGCCUUCUGGCUCAUAACUGACGCUGUAGCGCGAAAGCGUGGGGAGCGAACCGG
Molecule: ribosomal RNA, 253 nt
Filed under: uncultured bacterium
Lineage: Bacteria
Description: partial 16S ribosomal RNA
Rfam family: Bacterial small subunit ribosomal RNA
Source: RNAcentral